This 240-nucleotide unclassified non-coding RNA is filed under the name soil metagenome. RNAcentral's name for it is "partial contains 5.8S ribosomal RNA, internal transcribed spacer 2, and large subunit ribosomal RNA". The record is from RNAcentral.
AACCAUAGAAACCUGCGGAGUACCUGCGGAAGGAUCAUUAACGAGUUGCCAAAGUCGGCCGACCGUGCUGGCGGACACGCAUGUGCACGUCGGUCGCAAACUCAUCCACACACCUGUGAACGUAUGGCCUUCGGGUCUCUGACUCGGGGGCAACCCUUUUUUACCCACUCUGUUUGUAAAGGAAUGUCCUGUGCUCAUGCGCAAAAUGAAACAACUUUCAACAACGGAUCUCAGAUCGGA